UCAGCUCGUGUCGUGAGAUGUGGUUAAGUCCGCAACGAGCGCAACCCCUACUUGUUAGUUGCCAUCAUUCAGUUGGGCACUCUAGCGAGACUGCCGGUAAUAAACCGGAGGAAGGUGGGGAUGACGUCAGAUCAUCAUGCCCCUUAUGACCUGGGCUACACACGUGCUACAAUGGUUGGUACAACGAGUUGCGAGUCGGUGACGGCGAGCUAAUCUCUUAAAGCCAAUCUCAGUUCGGAUUGUAGGCUGCAACUCGCCUACAUGAAGUCGGAAUCGCUGGUAAUCGCGGAUCAGCACGCCGCGGUGAAUACGUUCCCGGGCCUU
This 324-nucleotide ribosomal RNA is filed under the name uncultured Streptococcus sp. Its description in RNAcentral is "bacterial SSU rRNA". It matches the Rfam family "Bacterial small subunit ribosomal RNA", at positions 1055 to 1382 of the family's 1533-position model. The record is from RNAcentral. Lineage: Bacteria; Bacillati; Bacillota; Bacilli; Lactobacillales; Streptococcaceae.